GAAUAUUUGUGGCUUGAUGUCUUUGUUAUUGUUUGUAUGGUACCUUUGUCUCUAACAUAUGAUCUUAUUAGCUAAACAACAGGAAUUAAGAAAGUUAUGAGUGGAAGAUGCAACCUAUUUUGUGUUAGAAACCAUUUGAGUUUUGUGUGGUGUUGGUCUCUCUAUCUCUCUCUCUAUGUAUUGAUAUCUAGAAGUAGUGUUUGAUAUCUAGAAGGCCUAUUCUCUCACUCUCUAAACAUCCGUUACAUGAUCCUUCUUCAUUUUGCAUUUCUAAACAUCCGUUACAUGAUCCUUCUUCAUUUUGCAUUAACAUUAUUAUCAUCACAAAAUAAAAAAAGGAGCUAAUUAUCAAUCCCAACUUCAUUUUUGACAAAUCUAUGGAUAUAUAUUGUGUUACUUUAUGCAGUUUUAUCCUCAAUAUUCCUAUAAUCACCUUAUGAUAUAUAGUACUAAAAGAUGAGACUUUUCUAUUGCAAGAUGAUACUUCGUAGAAACACGCACAGGAAAGACUUGGAGUUGACUAGAGAUAAUGACAUUUAAGAAAGAUGCUAAACUUAUCUUGCACGAUUAAU
Molecule: long non-coding RNA, 572 nt
Filed under: Trifolium pratense (red clover)
Lineage: Eukaryota; Viridiplantae; Streptophyta; Magnoliopsida; Fabales; Fabaceae
Description: long non-coding RNA (TPRA_LNC002370)
Source: RNAcentral